Molecule: long non-coding RNA, 224 nt
Organism: Peromyscus eremicus (cactus mouse)
Lineage: Eukaryota; Metazoa; Chordata; Mammalia; Rodentia; Cricetidae
Exons: 2
Source: RefSeq, a predicted model, not a curated record
UGAGGGCAGGGUGCCUGGAGAAGAGGCUGGCCAAAAAAACACCUCCAUAAGCAGGGUGGUGGGAAGUUGCGGUGGGCACAGGAGGCCUUGGCACGUCCUCUGAGAGCCAGGGAUCCGCUGAACCCAGGGCCUCAAGCAUGCUAGGCAGGCACUUUAUCACCAAAUUACACUCCCAGCCCAGUUCCUCAUAGCAAAUUUCAUUAAACUUUUCUUUAACAACUGAA